Stylophora pistillata is the source of this 505-nucleotide long non-coding RNA. NCBI's taxonomy places the organism in Eukaryota, Metazoa, Cnidaria, Anthozoa, Scleractinia, Pocilloporidae. The record is from RefSeq and is a predicted model, not a curated record.
GCGGUUUUAAUUAUCGGCCCUUUUCAGUCCGCCAUAUUAGAUUAGAUCUGCGAAGUGUUGGAGCUAAAGUUGGGGCAGACUACAAUGAGCAGCGUUCUAUGGAGGAGUUUGCGUGUUCCGUUGACGAGGCGUUUGGUACGUCAAGCUGGUGACCAUCCUACGGCAGAAGAACUUGGUCUCAAGGGAUGGCAAGUCUACUUUAACAGCUACACUAUUGAUGGUCGACGCAAUUUGGUAUUUGCAGUCUAUGGAACUUUGUUUGGAAUCUAUGGACUUUACAAGCUGACCAGAAAGGACAACAAAGAGGCUCCAGAAAAGACUCCAGAAAAAUAACUGCAGCAAAAAAAAUUCAUCUUUUGACCUCUGUAAUUUAUCAUGUUAGGGUUUUCAUUUACAUUGAGGGACCACAGAUCUUAUGAUCCACUGAUGUGAAGUUUGUCAAAUGCAUUUGAUAUGCUAAUAAAAUUGGAUUGAUGUUUUUGAAAUAAAAUAGCUGGAGUGUUCU